GUCUGUGAGAGCCGUCUGUCAAUCACUCGCGAACUCCGACCAAACGGUCAAACUAGUAAGUGAGCCCAACAGUGGGCUGGUGACCAGCGGCAGCGCUGGAUCUAACGGUUCCUGCACCUCACUCCCCACCUCUGGAGAAGGACAAGCCACCGGCGAGCUGCGACCAAACUUUAUGGUCCCACUGAUGUGUGUUGUCACCAUUAAAUCUUGUUAUGGUGAUGAUAACUAACAA
Molecule: long non-coding RNA, 232 nt
Organism: Sebastes umbrosus (honeycomb rockfish)
Lineage: Eukaryota; Metazoa; Chordata; Actinopteri; Perciformes; Sebastidae
Exons: 2
Source: RefSeq, a predicted model, not a curated record